This 233-nucleotide long non-coding RNA is filed under the name Elaeis guineensis (African oil palm). RNAcentral's name for it is "long non-coding RNA (EGUI_LNC081478)". The record is from RNAcentral. Lineage: Eukaryota; Viridiplantae; Streptophyta; Magnoliopsida; Arecales; Arecaceae.
UCCUUCUUCCAACUGUAGUCCAUGAAGUCCUUUCUGUGGAGGUUUCGAAGGCGAGUAACCUCCAUGAUGGCUUUCGAAUGGCUCUUCCUUAGCUUGUGAAGUUCAUCAUCCAUCUUCUUUAAUUUUUUCGUUAGGUGACGAACUUUUCUUCUCAGAUCAUAGAUCAUAGACUUCAAAGGAAUCCCUUAUGGUAGGAGAAGAGCUUCGGCAGGGCACUGUUGUCAGAAAACAAG